RNAcentral lists this long non-coding RNA (773 nucleotides) under Pan troglodytes (chimpanzee). RNAcentral's name for it is "lincRNA". Lineage: Eukaryota; Metazoa; Chordata; Mammalia; Primates; Hominidae. The record is from RNAcentral.
GUCUUUUCUGGCAGAUUACUUCUGUGAGCAACUGGGUCUCUCAGUUCUUUGGGAGCACCCUGGGAAACAGUGUGGCUAUGACUUGGAGCUGCUCACCAGUUCCAGUCAUUCUGUGGUUGAGAGCUGCUCCCUAUGGAUGUUAAUUCUUCUCCAUUUUAGAUUUUCCACAGGUGUGGGCCCCAUUAGCUCUGGCCACCUGAGAAAGCCCUCAGGCAAAGAGUCGCAGGUGAAAGCCAGCAGUUAGAGGUUCACAGAAAUGAGUACAGAAGCAUCUUCAGUUGGAGAGCCACUGCCUCUUGCUGUGAAAUAUUUGGGAAUCUUCAGAAACCAUGAAGAAUAACCUGCUAAAGGGUUUUAUUUUGUCAGUCAAGCUGGAAUGCAGUGGCGUGAACAUUGCUUACUGCAGCUUCAAUCUCCUGAGGUCAAACAAUCUUCUCACCUCAGCCUUGCAAGCAGCUAGGACUACAGGCAUGUGCCACCACGCCCCACUAAUUUUUUAAUUUUUCUUUUGUGGAGACGCAGUCUUGUUAUCUUGAACAGGCUGGUCUUGAACUCUUGGAGUCAAGCAAUCCUUCUGCCUCAGACUCUCAAAAGUGCUGGGAUUACAGGCAUGAGCCACCACAUUCAGCCAGGAAAAGUUUUUGUACAUUUAAAAAAUUAUAGGAUAUUUGUGUAUAUAGCUUUGCUGGUUUGACUUCCUAGAAUAGCUCCCAGGAACACAAAGUACUUAAUUGAUUAGUAUAAAAUGAUUAUGUCAUACUCACAUGUUGGUU